Molecule: long non-coding RNA, 504 nt
Organism: Sapajus apella (tufted capuchin)
Lineage: Eukaryota; Metazoa; Chordata; Mammalia; Primates; Cebidae
Exons: 3
Source: RefSeq, a predicted model, not a curated record
GAGCCUCAGGAAGCUCGCGCCCUCUGCCAGGGGGAGGAGCCUGGCCCGUCCUCCUCCUGUGCGGAAUUGCGAUUCAAACAGCCACCUCGGAAACGCUCUAGCUGGGGACUCUGGCCUUGUGGAGGAUCCCUGUUUCCCCUUCCCCCGCUUUUACCCAUGAAAAUCUGGCUUUACUCACCCUUUAAACUGUCUGAAAGCCUACAUGUUCAUGGCUGCGGGACAGACGAGAACCCCAUCUUUACCUGAACUGAGAAGUCAUGCAACAUUUUUGGCGCAAGGUGGGCUCCAGAAGCGGUUUGGUUAAUUGAAGAGUACAGAUGUGCGCAGCACCAGGCUUGACAAGGGCAGUGGUUACAGCUUGUGUUCCAGCUUUGCAUCCUAGAACCAGUUGCUUCCAAAUCUUGGCUGUCAUGGAUACUGCUGCAGAAAUCAUGGGAGUGCAAAUAUCUCUGGCAUACUUGAUUUCCAGUCUUUUGGGUAAAUAUCAAGCAGUGGAAUUACUGG